GGGGAAUAUUGCACAAUGGAGGAAACUCUGAUGCAGCGACGCCGCGUGAACGAUGAAGGCUUUCGAGUCGUAAAGUUCUGUCCUUGGGGACGAUAAUGACGGUACCCAAGGAGGAAGCCCCGGCUAACUACGUGCCAGCAGCCGCGGUAAUACGUAGGGGGCAAGCGUUGUCCGGAUUUAUCGGGCGUAAAGGGUUCGCAGGUGGCCUUUUAAGUCAGAUGUGAAAGAUCAAGGCUUAACCUUGGUAAGCAUUUGAAACUGAAAGGCUUGAGUUAAGGAGAGGAAAGUGGAAUUCCUAGUGUAGCGGUGAAAUGCGUAGAUAUUAGGAGGAAUACCAGUGGCGAAGGCGACUUUCUGGACUUAUACUGACACUGAGGAACGAAAGCAUGGGGAGCAAAC
This 399-nucleotide ribosomal RNA is filed under the name uncultured bacterium. RNAcentral's name for it is "bacterial SSU rRNA". It matches the Rfam family "Bacterial small subunit ribosomal RNA", at positions 356 to 773 of the family's 1533-position model. The record is from RNAcentral.